ACUUAUCAAAGUGUCAUGGCGUUGCCUGUGAAGUGUGACGUCACGUUCGAGUAAUCGAGAUGUAAACACUAUACGUAGUUAUUUAGUGAGAAGAAAAAUGAAUUCCAAAACGUACAGGUGGUGUGCGGUCCCUCAAUGUACUAACACAUCCAUAAAAACACCUAAUAAGUUAUUUAUUUUCGUUCCAUACAAUAAAACGACACGAUAUAAGUGGCUUAAACUUGCAAAGCGUGAUUUAAAAGGAAUAUUGCCCCGUACUCAGCUUUAUUUUUGUGAAGAUCACUUUGACUUGCCAAAUGACAUGGAAAAUUAUAUGCAAUAUAAUUUGAUGGGAUCGGUGUCGCAGAUCCGCAUGAAACCGGGGUGCAUUCCCUCAAAAUAUUACUGUCAACCCGAUAGAAGAAAACGAACAGCCGAUAUAACCGAACCAGAAUAUGUUGUCAAAAAACAAAGAAAAAUGUUAAUUGAGGAAUAUGAAAAAGAACUAGUAGAAAGAACAAUUAUUGCUACAGAAAACUUGGAACUUGGAGAGUCUUCAUCCGGAAAUGCAGAAUGCUUCAAGAACAUUAUUUAGUAUUCAUGAAGAAUCUGACAGUGAUAUUUCUUAUACACCAUCUGUGAUGCAUAAAGAAUCAUCACCAUCAACAGCACCUUUGCAAAUCAAGUCUACUUUAGACUGUAGCGAGUUAAUUGACGAAGAUAAAAAACAAGAGGCAUCAAAAAUUUUGGAAUAUACAUUGCUGAAAAUAAAGAAAACUUAUUACAAAAAAA
Manduca sexta (tobacco hornworm) is the source of this 771-nucleotide long non-coding RNA. RefSeq lists it as uncharacterized. The transcript has 3 exons. The record is from RefSeq and is a predicted model, not a curated record. NCBI's taxonomy places the organism in Eukaryota, Metazoa, Arthropoda, Insecta, Lepidoptera, Sphingidae.